GUUAAGUGAAUAAGCGUAUACGGUGGAUGCCUUGGCAAUUGGAGGCGAUGAAAGACGUGUUAAUCUGCGAUAAGUCUGGUUAAGGUGAUAAAAACCGUUAUAGACCAGAAUUUCUGAAUGGGGAAACCCACUGCAUUUUGUGCAGUAUCGCAUAGUGAAUACAUAGCUAUGCGAAGCAAACCCGGAGAACUGAAACAUCUAAGUACCCGGCGGAAAAGAAAUCAACCG
Molecule: ribosomal RNA, 228 nt
Filed under: Pseudo-nitzschia pungens
Lineage: Eukaryota; Bacillariophyta; Bacillariophyceae; Bacillariales; Bacillariaceae
Description: partial Bacterial large subunit ribosomal RNA
Rfam family: Bacterial large subunit ribosomal RNA
Source: RNAcentral